CCCGGAGGGAACAAGUGUUAUUCGUUUUGAUGGGUGUAAAAAGCGCUUAGAUGGUAUAUUAUGUUUUGUUGAAAAAGUAAGAUGAUGUUCUUAAUAGACUUUGUACUGAUAUACUAGAGUUGUUAUAAUUUGGCAGUAUUUUAAAUGGAAGCUGAAAUUUGGAGAUAUUUUUAGGACUAGCAAUAGACGGAGGUAGUAUUUAAGGUAUGACUGACAUUGAUGCGCGAAAGCUUAGUAUCAAAUAGG
This 246-nucleotide ribosomal RNA is filed under the name uncultured bacterium. Its description in RNAcentral is "partial 16S ribosomal RNA". The record is from RNAcentral.